This 412-nucleotide unclassified non-coding RNA is filed under the name soil metagenome. RNAcentral describes it as "partial contains 5.8S ribosomal RNA, internal transcribed spacer 2, and large subunit ribosomal RNA". The stretch from base 1 to 122 matches the Rfam family "5.8S ribosomal RNA", at positions 35 to 154 of the family's 154-position model. The record is from RNAcentral.
GAUGAACAAUGUAGCGAAAUGCGAUACUUGGUGUGAAUUGCAGAAUCCCGUGAACCAUCGAGUCUUUGAACGCAAGUUGCGCCCGAAGCCGUCAGGCCGAGGGCACGCCUGCCUGGGCGUCACACGCCGUUGCCCCCCCGCGCCCCGCACCCAACGCUUUGGGAGCGACCGCGGGGCGGGCUGAUGAUGGCCUCCCGUGCGCUCCGCCGCGCGGUUGGCCCAAAUACCGAGUCCCCGGCGACGUGCGCCACGACGAUCGGUGGUUGAGAGACCUCUGUCGCAAGUCGUGCGCGCCCGUCGCGUCACGCGGGCUCGCAUAGCGCCUCGCGCCGCACCCGGUGCGGAGCUUUCAACGCGACCCCAGGUCAGGCGGGGUUACCCGCUGAAUUUAAGCAUAUCAAUAAGCGGAGGA